GUUCAAUAUAUACAGGUUAAGGGUGCGUUCGUAAAUUAACUUUGGCUAUGUACGAUUUCAGAGCACUCUCGUCUGUGUGCAAGAACGCUGAAUAACGGAUGCAUUUACAAACGUGCAACACGUUGAAUAUGACCAUUGUCAGUAAACGUCGGCAAAAAACGUAAUUAAAUUGUUACCAGCAGCACACUUACAGUCACCAAACGAUAUGGAUAACAUGAAAACAGCCUAACCAGCUCUGCUAGGGCGAGUAAAAUGGUCAGAAUGAGGUGUUCUCUCAUUUGUGUCUGGAAGCAGCUAGCCAACUAGCCACCAUCAGCCAGUUAGCUGGGUGCUUGACUGCCGUUGUGAGGUCAGGACGCUCGGAUCAACCCUACUCCUCCGUCAGAGCGUUCAAUGUGGCUCUGAACGCUCCGAGAGCGAAACGCUCUGAAUUUACGAACACACCACCUAGGUUCCUUGCGGAUCAACUUCAUACUCCCCCAUCAGCUCUGGGACGCACAAUAGUGUUGCCCAUUAAGUCCAUGCGGGAUCAGAAAAAGGAGAAGGGAUCAUGUCAAAUGUCUCAACCUCGGUGAUAGCUCAGCCAUCACCAUCUGAUUAUAUACAGAUGUUUCAAGACAUGUUGAGUCAAAGCUGAUCUACUCUAACAGCUGACUGCAGUUAUUGUCUUUUCUGUGCAGUUUUAUUUCAUAGAGAAUACAUCUAAAUGUUACAUGAAAAAAUGCCCAAAUAGCUGGUGGAUUAGAUUUUUUUUGUUUUGUUGAUCAACCUCACAUGCUGCAGAGUAGACUGGAUUUAUCUGAGUGCUAACCUCUAUUCAUGGGUAUGCUGAUGAGAAUAUAAGGAUGGAAUACAUGUCAACAACUCCGACUCAAUCAAGACUGGACAUAGAAUACAACUAGGGUCCUAUCUGGUGUCAAACAUUAAGCCCUCAUGGAUGGUAGGGCUUUCUGCUUCAGAUUAAGCAAAGCUCUGAGAUCCACAAACAAGAGAUGACAAUCUGGCUGUAAAGACUUGAAGAUCAUUUGGAGCCCUAUAACACAUUUACCAAGUUAUUGUUGCUUCUGCCUCUGUUAUUUGUCAAUAAAUCUAGAUGACUUUGA
Oncorhynchus tshawytscha (Chinook salmon) is the source of this 1103-nucleotide long non-coding RNA. RefSeq lists it as uncharacterized. NCBI's taxonomy places the organism in Eukaryota, Metazoa, Chordata, Actinopteri, Salmoniformes, Salmonidae. The transcript is spliced from 5 exons. The record is from RefSeq and is a predicted model, not a curated record.